GUCCUUUGCUGCCAUCUUUGUCUAUCUGUAGUUGCCUACAUAUGGUUAUUGAUAGCUCAGUGGCAACAAUCAUAGAUAGUUAAAGAUGGUAACAAAGGAUAA
RNAcentral lists this microRNA precursor (102 nucleotides) under Carica papaya (papaya). RNAcentral describes it as "miR8138 stem-loop (cpa-MIR8138)". The record is from miRBase by way of RNAcentral. Lineage: Eukaryota; Viridiplantae; Streptophyta; Magnoliopsida; Brassicales; Caricaceae.